GCGGGUUUAGCUCAGUUGGGAGAGCGUCAGACUGAAGUAAAAACUUCGGUAACUCAAUCUGAAGGUCGUGUGUUCGAUCCACACAAACCGCA
Molecule: non-coding RNA, 92 nt
Organism: Parathielavia hyrcaniae
Lineage: Eukaryota; Fungi; Ascomycota; Sordariomycetes; Sordariales; Chaetomiaceae
Source: the annotation of a GenBank genome assembly